UGGGGAAUUUUGGACAAUGGGCGAAAGCCUGAUCCAGCAAUGCCGCGUGUGUGAAGAAGGCCUUCGGGUUGUAAAGCACUUUUGUCCGGAAAGAAAUCCUUGGCUCUAAUACAGUCGGGGGAUGACGGUACCGGAAGAAUGAGCACCGGCUAACUACGUGCCAGCAGCCGCGGUAAUACGUAGGGUGCAAGCGUUAAUCGGAAUUACUGGGCGUAAAGCGUGCGCAGGCGGUUUGCUAAGACCGAUGUGAAAUCCCCGGGCUCAACCUGGGAACUGCAUUGGUGACUGGCAGGCUAGAGUAUGGCAGAGGGGGGUAGAAUUCCACGUGUAGCAGUGAAAUGCGUAGAGAUGUGGAGGAAUACCGAUGGCGAAGGCAGCCCCCUGGGGCCAAUACUGACGCUCAUGCACGAAAGCGUGGGGAGCAAACAGGAUUAGAUACCCUGGUAGUCCACGCCCUAAACGAUGUCAACUAGUUGUUGGGGAUUCAUUUCCUUAGUAACGUAGCUAACGCGUGAAGUUGACCGCCUGGGGAGUACGGUCGCAAGAUUAAAACUUAAAGGAAUUGACGGGGUCAUAGCUGUUUCCU
This 586-nucleotide ribosomal RNA is filed under the name uncultured bacterium. RNAcentral describes it as "partial 16S ribosomal RNA". It matches the Rfam family "Bacterial small subunit ribosomal RNA", at positions 355 to 1375 of the family's 1533-position model. The record is from RNAcentral.